UUAGGUUUAUUUUCUUCGAAGCCCUCAUCGCCGGGACAGAAUGACUUUGGACAGCAUUCGGGAUACUCUUUCGCCUUAUCUUGAAUUAUGUAACAUGGCGCCGUCGUCUCCAGGACAGAAUGAUUUGGGACAACAUGCAGGAUAUUCCUUUGUCAAGUCCUCUUUCAAGUAACAAGGCGCACGAACUUUCUUUUGACCACAACUGUCCAAAAAAUGACAAACUCCUCUAGGACAACAUGCCGGAAAAGCCUUAAAAAGCUGUUCGACAACGUAACAUGGAGGAACUGCCAAAACCUCAGUGCAUCUAAAUAAUUUUUUUUUAUAAAAAUACAAAUCAAAUAAAUUUUUCAUCACUCACCGUUCCUUAGAACAAUUACAAUUCUGGUUGCAAGUUACUUGCGCACA
Culicoides brevitarsis is the source of this 405-nucleotide long non-coding RNA. RefSeq lists it as uncharacterized. The transcript has 3 exons. Lineage: Eukaryota; Metazoa; Arthropoda; Insecta; Diptera; Ceratopogonidae. The record is from RefSeq and is a predicted model, not a curated record.